AUUGAACGCUGGCGGCAUGCCUUACACAUGCAAGUCGAACGGCAGCGGGGGAGAAGCUUGCUUUUCCUGCCGGCGAGUGGCGAACGGGUGAGUAAUACAUCGGAACGUGCCCUGUAGUGGGGGAUAACUAGUCGAAAGAUUAGCUGAUACCGCAUACGACCUGAGGGUGAAAGUGGGGGACCGCAAGGCCUCAUGCUAUAGGAGCGGCCGAUGUCUGAUUAGCUAGGUGGUGGGGUAAAGGCCUACCAGGGCGACGAUCAGUAGCUGGUCUGAGAGGACGAUGGGCCACACUGGGACUAAGACACGGCACAGAAUCCUACGGGAGGCAGCAGUGGGGAAUUUUGGACAAUGGGCGAAAGCCUGAUCCAGCAAUGCCGCGUGUGUGAAGAAGGCCUUCGGGUUGUAAAGCACUUUUGUCCGGAAAGAAAUGGCUCUGGUUAAUACCUGGGGUCGAUGACGGUACCGGAAGAAUAAGGACCGGCUAACUACGUGCCAGCCGCCGCGGUAA
Molecule: ribosomal RNA, 508 nt
Filed under: uncultured bacterium
Lineage: Bacteria
Description: partial 16S ribosomal RNA
Rfam family: Bacterial small subunit ribosomal RNA
Source: RNAcentral